Long non-coding RNA from Mauremys reevesii (Reeves's turtle), 536 nucleotides. RefSeq lists it as uncharacterized. The transcript is spliced from 3 exons. The record is from RefSeq and is a predicted model, not a curated record. Lineage: Eukaryota; Metazoa; Chordata; Testudines; Geoemydidae.
UGUAAAAAAAAAUUGGGGGCACUGCUUUUUGGCACCCCCAAAUCUUGGCACCCUAGGCAACCGCCUAGUUUCCCUUAAUGGUAGCACCGGCCCUUGGCCCAGGCAGUCCCUUUGCCAACCACCACCCACUUUGAGCAUUGAUGGAUGCUCAGCCCUUUUGAUCAUCAAACCCCUAUAUCCAUUAAAAUGGAGGCAGCAACUCUUCAAAAUGUGUCCCAAAGUGACUUCCACAACAUCCAGAACCAACAACAAUUUUCAAGUUUAUUCAAGAGCAGAUGGUAAUUUAAGGCUUCCAUGCCACCUCCCUGAAGUUAUUUGGCCUCUUCCUCAAGCCACACUGCAGAUUGCAGCGAUUCAACUCCCUCAACUCAUAAGACCCUCUUGAUCCUUCCAGCUCUGAGAGAAUCCACUGGAAGCCAGGAAAGCACAGGAGCUCUUUGCCUCUCCAGUGCCACCCAGCCCUUGAUCUUCCUGUACCGAUUGACAGCUCAACUCUGACUAUCAAGGGUGCUCCACCACCAGUGCCCCCUGGUCCU